UAACAAGGUUUCCGUAGGUGAACCUGCGGAAGGAUCAUUAAUAAUGCUCUCUGGCUUCGGUCAGUUGAGUUCAAUGAGUGCCUUCUCUUCGGAGUUGGCCAUCCAUACACACCGUGAACUGUGGCUUCGGCCAUCACAAACUGUUAGUAAUGAAUGUAAUAUCAUAACAAAAACAAAACUUUUAACAACGGAUCUCUUGGCUCUCGCAUCGAUGAAGAACGCAGC
Molecule: unclassified non-coding RNA, 225 nt
Filed under: uncultured fungus
Lineage: Eukaryota; Fungi
Description: partial contains 18S rRNA, ITS1, 5.8S rRNA
Rfam family: 5.8S ribosomal RNA (bases 177-225)
Source: RNAcentral